Long non-coding RNA from Labeo rohita (rohu), 666 nucleotides. RefSeq lists it as uncharacterized. The transcript has 3 exons. NCBI's taxonomy places the organism in Eukaryota, Metazoa, Chordata, Actinopteri, Cypriniformes, Cyprinidae. The record is from RefSeq and is a predicted model, not a curated record.
CGUUACCGCUUUGCAAAUUUAGCUGAUUUGCACCAAAAAUAUGUUUGUGGUUUUGGCCAUUUGACAUUUGAGUGUGGCGGUGGGGUGGGGGGAAAUUACACACCUAAGGAGAUGCUUAAACUCUGCCAAAACCUUCAGUGAAAGAGUGAGUAAUCAUGCAUAAUCAUGCUUUAGAAAGCUGCAUUGAUCUUGUGAUGAUGCUGAUAAAAAGGGCCAGUCAAGGAUCCAGGAUCAUAAAUAGCCUCUACAUCGCUUGUCCUCUGAAGAAGACUCGCACAUCAUGCUUGAACUGUCAGCAUCAAUGAGAGUCAUUGUAAAGGUGGUCAUGCUUCUGACUGGACUCUGUUUCUUGGGCAUAUAUCAGUCCAAUGACAUGCCUAAAAGAAAAUGUCACUGUGGACACCAAAACUGUCGACCAUAUUGUUGAUUUCUUCGAGCAGAACUUUAACAGGUUUCAGAGAGCCGAUGAUGGCCAUCAGUACACAUCAAUGUGCCAAAGCAUCUGUGUCAACCGGACUUCCAUCGUGCACAGAAUGAAUUCCUGACUUAGGAGAAUGCCACAAAUAUAAAAAAUGCUAUUACUGAUGAAGGCAAGGCGCAAAUUAUACCCCUGAAAAAGUGGAGAAGAUUAAGCACACAGCAAACUUUGUGUAAUCACUUUUGUAA